Long non-coding RNA from Oncorhynchus tshawytscha (Chinook salmon), 1453 nucleotides. The record is from Ensembl. Lineage: Eukaryota; Metazoa; Chordata; Actinopteri; Salmoniformes; Salmonidae.
UGGACUAACACUAGUUAGCAAUUGUGCUAACUAUAGUUAACAACUUCCUUUAAACUGCUCACAGAGAAAAUGGUAUCCACAAGUUCAUCUGACUCUGGGGAAGUAGAUAAAGGGCUUCAUUGCCAAAAUCCUGAAGUAUCCCUUUAAGUAACAUUUUCACUUUGAUGCAUUGAUGUCAAUGGGAGACUUAGUGGAAAUUGGACUGAAGUGGAGGUUAGGAUUUGCCCCUAAAAGAGCCCAAAGACCUCUCAGCCAUUAGUUUGUCUUUUUUUGUUGUUGUUACAAAAUACCCUCUCAUAACCAAUAAGUAUUAAUUGUUUGGUUGUGUUGAACUGGUACAUGUAAAUGUACUGGAAUGUACAUGCAAAUGUACUUUGACUGGAAAUGCAAAUGUUUUACAUAUAUUGUCUCCCAAUAGAGCACAUAUACAUACAGUCCGUUAAUAUAUUAUAAUUUAGUGUUGUAUACCGGGUUAAAUAAUCAGGGCUGAGUUUGGAUUGAUUUGAAAUCAGGCAUAUAUUUGUCUCCUCUGUGACCUUGUCACCAAGGACACACUCAGGAGCUACAACAAUACUUCCUGUAACCUUUCUAUGUAACACAACAUCCACUUAGUCUGACUCUAUAGAGAAAACAUCUAGUACAGACGUUUGCUCAAUGCUCAAUUUGUUUUUGUAUAACAGGAAAGCACACAAUGCUCUGUGAAAUCAAUAUGCAAGAAUUUUGCAGCUUUCUUCUGUGCAAUGCCAUCAACCCUUUGGCUCAGUUUAUAAACUGCACAGCAGUUGCUCUUCCUUGUGAUCAUUUUUUAAACUUUAUUAAAAUAUCUGGACCCAUAUUCACAAAGUGUCUCAGAGUAGGAGUGCUGAUUCUGGGAUAUUUUUUGUAUUUUAGAUCAUAAUGAAUACAAUGGCAUGGACAGGGGGGGGGGGGUCUGAUCCGAAAUGAUUCGUUCCUGUGUUGGUUUUAACGUUACAUCUAUCAGGCAGUGCACUUGUGGAGCUCAUGAACAACAAAUAAUUUACAAUGAGAAACCCCAGUCGAGUGGUUAAAAGGAUGAUUGUAAGGGACUGAUGUAUAAAAACAAAUCCUAAUUUAGAGGUCUUAAAGGUAGACUCAACGUUGUGAAAUCAUCAUCAUACACAGCGGGACAAUUUAUUGCUUGCUCCCAGAAAUCAACAUCUAAUCUGCCAGGACUGUUACUAUUGGUUCUUCCUUAAAUGGGCAUGCCUCAGGGGAGGGCACAGAUUAACAGUCCGUUUUGGUAGUUUUCUGUUGUUGAUGUCUGGAAGCAGGAGGUCACCAUGCCAUGUACGAUGAUAACAUAUAAUGAAGUCUGCCUUCAAUAUUUUAUUCGCAAAUGGGGAGAAAGGGACACAUUUUGAUGUUAAGAAAUAUUUGACAUGUUAAUGGUUCAAACCUGUGGUGCUGCCAUCAGAAUAGGCCAUAUUACAGC